AGUGAACGCUGGCGGUAGGCCUAACACAUGCAAGUCGAACGGCAGCACAGGAGAGCUUGCUCUCUGGGUGGCGAGUGGCGGACGGGUGAGGAAUACAUCGGAAUCUACUCUGUCAUGGGGGAUAACGUAGGGAAACUUACGCUAAUACCGCAUACGACCUACGGGUGAAAGCAGGGGACCUUCGGGCCUUGCGCGAUUGAAUGAGCCGAUGUCGGAUUAGCUAGUUGGCGGGGUAAAGGCCCACCAAGGCGACGAUCCGUAGCUGGUCUGAGAGGAUGAUCAGCCAGACGGGAACUGAGACACGGUCCAGACUCCUACGGGAGGCAGCAGUGGGGAAUAUUGGAAAAUGGGCGCAAUCCUGAUCCAGCCAUACCGAGUGGGUGAAGAAGGCCUUCGGGUUGUAAAGCCCUUUUGUUGGGAAAGAAAUCCAGCUGGCUAAUACCCGGUUGGGAUGACGGUACCCAAAGAAUAAGCACCGGCUAACUUCGUGCCAGCCGCCGCGGUAA
RNAcentral lists this ribosomal RNA (506 nucleotides) under uncultured bacterium. Its description in RNAcentral is "partial 16S ribosomal RNA". It matches the Rfam family "Bacterial small subunit ribosomal RNA", at positions 29 to 523 of the family's 1533-position model. The record is from RNAcentral.